Long non-coding RNA from Cygnus olor (mute swan), 1205 nucleotides. RefSeq lists it as uncharacterized. The transcript is spliced from 2 exons. NCBI's taxonomy places the organism in Eukaryota, Metazoa, Chordata, Aves, Anseriformes, Anatidae. The record is from RefSeq and is a predicted model, not a curated record.
UCUUGUCCUGGUGAGGCUUCCUGCAGAUGACAGCUGUUUUGGUGCAAAUGCUCUGUCUUAAAUGAAACAGGAAAAAAUAUGCGGAGAAAUGAAGGCCAGCAAGUGACCUUGCCCCGGCUCGUGCAGCAGCAGCCGCCCUGAUCCCAAACCCUCUGCGGGGAGCCCCGGCACCGCGAGGAAGGAGACGACGGACGCUCUGCGCGAUGAUGCUCAUUCCUUUAUUGGUGUCAUUGCCAGUUUUUGAGGAGUGCCGACGCCUUCUGAGCACGUCCAGCACUGAGUCAAAGCUACAUUACAGAAUAUUGAAGAGGUGUCCAUCCAAAGCCAGAGGGGGUGUGAGAUUCGUGACCUCUCUCCAUACAGUAUGUAUAAUAUAUAUAUAUUUAUAAUAUGUCCUGUAUAUUCAUUAUGUAUAGAGUGACAAGGAUGGGCGACCGUACAGUAAACUUUUGAUUUCUAAAUAGAUCACCAUAGCAACAGGCACAAAAAUUUGGUCCUAAUCAAGGCCCUCACCUUGUCAAUCAAUCUGAAACAGACCCCAGCCCACCCCUUGCAAAAAUAAAAUAAAAUAAAAUCCGAACCUGAAACCAAAAAUAACUAAAUAACCAAUUAAAAUUAAAAAAGGGCCCCACCCCAGCCCACUGACCCCCUCUGGAACUUGCCCCUGUACAGUCACUCACAUCGAAGGUAAAGAGAUCCCUUGGCUACACACGCGCGCGCGCACCCACACACGCCUACACACAUUCCUAUGUAAAUACACACGCACCAACAUACGAAGAACAAAGAACAUUACAAAUAUACAUCCGAGGUUGUUGCAGCAAUGCAGGGAGGCUGCGAGCGGCCCAGCCCAGCGUUGCAAGGCAGGGGCAGCAGCGUCCCCGGCCCACGGCCUGGCGGCGUUUCGGCUAGCAGGCCGCGGGGCCGGCAGCCCUGGAUGGGGACGCAGGGACGGUGGCUUCGUCACGCGGGGGGGACACCUCGCUGCGGGGCCGUCCCACGACAGACGCGCUCCAAAAGCCAAGCCAGGAGCAGGGCGGGUGAUGGAGCCCGUGGGUGGCGGCACGUUGCUGGCCCCUGCCACCGGCUCGCUGUGGUGUCCGCUGGGGUGCUGGGCGUCUCCUGGCAGAGCCCACGGUGAGCCCCGUCCCGACGGACCUCUGCUGACCUGGCUGAAAAUGAACUUGGGGCAACUGGAAGGCAAGGAA